RNAcentral lists this long non-coding RNA (331 nucleotides) under Cucumis sativus (cucumber). RNAcentral describes it as "long non-coding RNA (CSAT_LNC000992)". The record is from RNAcentral. Lineage: Eukaryota; Viridiplantae; Streptophyta; Magnoliopsida; Cucurbitales; Cucurbitaceae.
UAAAUACACACAACCUAAAGAAAAGUUGAGGCAACUUUAAUAAGAUUGUUUCAGAAGAGAUCAGACAGGUCUAAUCCAUUGAAACAAACAACAUUUUCCAAAAGACAAAACAUCCUUGGCUCACUCAACACAGCCAGUCUCAAGCUAUUACCCAUUUGCCUGGAAACAUGUGGGUCAGUUCAAUUUUCCCUUAAUUGAACCACUAAUUGAAGCUUAAAUUGGAAAUGUAACAAAGAUAAUAUCCAAGUUCAAGGAAUGAUAAUCACUGAAACUGGCUUUCAGAUAACCAAAGCUUCCAUCAGGAUAUCAUUUGAUGUAAAUAGUGAAGCAG